UAUCGAUCCUCUACUGCCGCCGCCCUUCCCCUGUCGAGGUGAUUUUCCUUGCGCCGUCUCUCCUUCCGCCGCCGCCUCGGAUUCCCCUCCCUGGAACCAUCUCUGCUCCUAGGGUUGCAGCCACUACCGCCGGUCUUCUCCAUCCAAGGGACCUAUUGGCUGAAGCUUUAGAAAUUUGGAGGAGGUUCUGAACUGCUACCUUGUGUGGUGAGCUGUGCUGUGCGUGGGUUGUUGCUGUGCACUGGCAGCAGGGCAAGUCCAGAGAAAGCAAGGAGAGCCAGCAGGAAAAAAAAAAAGGAAGAAGAGGGGGAAGGUACCAAAUGAUUGCCAUAUGCAUGGGAGUGGGAGUAGCAUCUUCACGAGAGCACAUACACUUAUGAAUUACAUAUGCCUAGUCUAUUACAUUUACUCCUUGAAAUUGUAAACUAGUUAACUUCGGUUGCUACAUGUCGUGGACGGGUUGAUUUUCUUUAUUCGUUGGGUUGGGCUGUGAUGCCUAUUUAAUGACUUCCAUGAUAUUUCUAUUUAUCUUGAUAUAUUGCCUGUUUUGGAACGUCCUAUUCAUUGGGGAGACUCUGCCAAAAUUUUGUAAAAUUCCAAACUGGUUUACUUCUGAUUGGUAGCCUCUAGGUUUGGAAUAAAUCUGGGGUGUUACAUCUAUAUGAUGAACACAAUAUAUCAAAGCUAUGGAUUUAUCUCCGGAUGAAGCUUUUUUAUGUCAUACUUACUCUGAUGGGACAUUCACUCGCAAUUUCUUUUCAUCUUUAGAAUGGCAUACUGUGUCAAGAGUGUUCGAAUAGUUGCAUUGUAUUUAUUGAUGAUUCUUUUGGUGGUCCGUAGUCAUACCUAUGCUGGAGUGGUAACUACUCUAUUAUGAUCACUGUCACGUUUUCUUUUAAUAUUUGUGGUUUCCCCCCAUUGUGAUUUGUGCUGGAUGGCUGCCCUACAUGAUGAUGAUAUUAUGAAAAGCUAUGGUUAAUUUCCAGAUGAGGCUUUUAUUGUCAUAGUUACUCUCAUAGUCUGCCAUAUCGAUAUUUUUUUAACCUACUUUUGUACAAAUCAGAUAGUCAAUCAGGUGUCUUCUCAGAUGAUUUACUCCAAGCUUUAUAAUUUGCCAUCUGUGAUUUUAAGUGUGAUGUGGCACUCUCUAAUCACGAAAACUGUGAUGUCGGCAUUGAGGGGCACGACACAGAGAAAAAGAGUCAGAGAAUAAGAGAACAGAAAGGGAAGAACUGGAAGGGAUCUGUGAAGGUUAACUCCUGUAGUUUUUUUUUUCAAAUAUCUGAAUUGUAUCCUAUUUUCUAUGUUGGUUCGAUGGAGAAGCUCAAGCCCUUCCUACAGCUGGUGCUUCCUAUAUGAGGCAGAAUGUUGAAACAAGGUGAGAAUUCUGCUUAAUUUGUUCUUGUACGUGCCAUGUCUUUAUGAUGAUAAAAGAAUGGUAUUCAUUGUGCUCUAUCAAAUUUUUUGUGAAAAAAAUAAUAUUGUAGAAUAUGUAGGUUGUCUGAGAUUGAAGUGAGCCAGAAAUAUAAAUUUGGCACUUUUGUUUUAGGUUCAUUAGAGUAUACUUCGUAGUCAUAUGAACAUGUCUCAAAUGUAGCGAAUAAAACAAAUAAACUACCUUCAAAUCUACUUCUUGAAUAUGCUAUCACUAAUGGAUGCACAGGUGAGUUCCAAAUAAAUAGAUAUGAUAUAUUGAGCAGGAGUAGAUUGAUAGAGCCUUGCUUGUUAGAAAAUUAUAUUCAAUAUUCUCAGCUUGUUACAUAUAAUUUAAUUCUGAAUCAAAUAGGUAGGUUUUUGUUCUCCUUAAUGCAUUGGAUUAGUUUAGUUGUAGAAAGUGAAGGUGUCCGAAAGAUUUUAGCACCAGUAAAUAGUCUUGACAUGCUAUAGAAAAUUGUUCAGGCAUCAGGCAUCAUAGAUGGGACUCCAGUAAGGUAAACUGCCGUUGUAUGCAAGUUACAGAGAUGAGACUGAAACAGUCCCAUUGGACAUUUUGCAGCUUCAAAUAUGCAGGUUCAGCAAAGUUGUGCAGGCAUUAGCCACAGCUUUGGUUGGGCCUUGUGGCAAGGCAAGAGGCAAUGAGGAGCAGAUGGUUCUGAGCUGUUGUGAUGCUGCAGAGCAAGCACGAUUGGAUAUACAUUUGUGGAUGAAGUUUCACUGUCGGAAAUCACUAGAAUGCCGUGUGCCUAAGUUUUUGCCGUGUGCGUUUUGUCGAGCACACGGCAAAGAGCCACUUUGCCGUAUACCACGACGAAAACGCACUGCAAAAAAAAAACACGGCAAAAUCCAUGCUUUACCGUGUGUUGGCACACGACAAAGUUUUUGCCAUGUGUUUUUUUGGCACACGGCAAAGUAAAUAGUUUGCGGUGUGUUAUUUUCGGCACAUGGCAAAGUCAUAAUUUUUUUCUAUUCUCACCUCGAAACUUUUUCUA
Long non-coding RNA from Panicum virgatum (switchgrass), 2429 nucleotides. RefSeq lists it as uncharacterized. The record is from RefSeq and is a predicted model, not a curated record. The transcript has 4 exons. Lineage: Eukaryota; Viridiplantae; Streptophyta; Magnoliopsida; Poales; Poaceae.